CAGAACAGAAGGAAGGGAAACAGGUGGGCCUUCCAGAAGUUUGUAAAGCACUAUCCAAAACUGAAGACAUAGAACAAGCUUUGGGUGGUUCGGCGAUUCGAUCAAGUGCAGGUAGCAAUUUGAAACAUUGGAAGAGGGUAGCUUGGGGGAAUUACAGAGAUACAUCUGGGGAGGUUCUCUCACCACCUCAGCAUGUUCAUCAUGACCCAACAGCCUUUGACAGGUAUGAUUCAUUGGCUAUUGGGAUGGAGAGGAGUGGGGCGACCAUCAUGAUUCUGCUAAGCUGGAGCUGUCGAGGGCUUGGGAACCCUCAGACAGUUCGCGAGCUUCGCCGGAUGGUGAAGAAUAAGCAUCCCCACUUUUUGUUUCUUAUGGAAACAAAAGUGAAGAAUGAAAGGUUACAAAAGCUGAGAUAUUCGUUGGGCUUUGAUGGGUUGAUUACAGUAGACCCAGUGGGAAAAAGUGGUGGUUUAGCCUUGUUUUGGAAGGAGCUGCACUCUGUUGAACUUCAGAAUUUCUCGCAAAGACACAUUAGUGCUACCAUCCGGGUGUUAGGCUCAGGAGUCCCAUGGAAAUUCACAGGGUUCUACGGUCACCCUGAACCUUGUUAUGGACCGAACUCUGCCGCUUCAGCUGUGCCAAGGUAUACCCUGGUUUUCUUGUUUGCUAACUCAAAAUGCAAGAGGUUCUUCCACAACCGCUUGAAGCCUUCAAAGCUUACUUGGACAGCUAUGUACAGAAAGCAACAUAAAAAGGACGUAGCGGCCGAGACUGUGAAGAAGAGGCGUCAUGCCACCAAGAAGCCAUACUCUAGGUCCAUAGUUGGAGCUACCUUGGAAAUUAAUUAUCCAGAAAAAGAGAGCUGAAAAACCAGAAGUAUGAGAUGCCGCACGGGAAGCCGCUCUCCGUGAAAUUAAGGAACGGAUCAAGAAAACCAAGGAUGAGAAGAAGGCAAAGAAGGCAGAAACAACGGCCAAGACUCAGAAGUCUCAGAGCAAGGGAAACUUGUCCAAGGGUGCUGCCCCAAAGGGCCCUAAAAUUGGAGGUGGUGGUGGAAAGCGCUGAGCAGCCAACUUAGACAAGUGAAAUGUUUUGUCUUGGGUUUUGUUUUGGCUAUGGCUUUCUUUAAUUACAAGUGAACUUGAGCAGAUUUAAUUUGUAUUUAAGUCAUUACGUAUUGGUUAGAACCAUUGAUAUUGCUUUGUGUGUUUCAUUUCCUGGUGAAUGGUGUGAUCGUUUUGAUGGUAAGUGUUGUAAACUGGCAACUCCUUUUUCUUUCCUGGUUUUAAAUUGAGAGGUGCAUAGUUUCACUUCA
This is an RNA transcript of Alnus glutinosa, 1315 nucleotides long. RefSeq lists it as uncharacterized. The record is from RefSeq and is a predicted model, not a curated record. NCBI's taxonomy places the organism in Eukaryota, Viridiplantae, Streptophyta, Magnoliopsida, Fagales, Betulaceae. The transcript is spliced from 5 exons.